Long non-coding RNA from Cygnus olor (mute swan), 2934 nucleotides. RefSeq lists it as uncharacterized. The transcript is spliced from 5 exons. The record is from RefSeq and is a predicted model, not a curated record. NCBI's taxonomy places the organism in Eukaryota, Metazoa, Chordata, Aves, Anseriformes, Anatidae.
AUUUUCCUCCCCAGCUGUACAGACCAGUGUCUCAGCUAUUGGGGUUUGAGGACUCUACUGUGAUCCUGGCAUGCACUCUCUCAAGCACCCUCUGCUUGAAACAGUCCAAUGAGGCUGAUUUGGAGCCCUCUCAGGUAUAAGGAUAUGUCUCAGUAGUCUUUCAUCUUACUCAUUUCCUGUUCCACAGCCUUACCCUAUGUGAAAUACCCAAACCCUUCAUUCCUGAUGACUUGAAUGCAUCAUGCUCUGUGAGGCUGCACUAUGCAGAGCUUUUGAAGAACAGUAAUAAUGAAACCUCUCUAGUGCUUUUUAUCCAGCUUGUAAAACCCAACCUUGUGGUGAUUUUAUCAUCUCUUCCCUAGCCAGGCAUGAAACAUCAACACACAAAACAGCUAAGUGCUCUGUUCCUCAAAGCUGUCUUCAGUCAACAAACCCCUGCCACCCAUAAGGGAUUAAAUUCACACUUUUUGUGACAGACAGACAUAACUAGAAAUUGUCCAUAAUGCAUUCAGAACAGCUUCUUUCUCUUGUGGUAGAGGGGGGAUUUAAAUGUGAGGUGGUCCUUGCACUUCAUAGUCUGUGCUCCUCUGGACUUUUAUCUGUGAUCUCCAUGCACCUGAUGUACUACAAAGUUAAGGCCUUCAGGCUACUGUGGUAGGCAGUUUUUUUUAAGAUUUUUUCUUUUUUUUACUCCUCUUGGAUGACUAUUUGCAUUGGUACAGUCAAUGUUAAAUGAUUUGAGAGGAAAAGAUUCGUAUUCUGACAUUUGCCUUUCACUGCAUCCACUCAGUAGUUCUGCUUAUAACAGUUUCUGCAUAGAAAAAAAAAUCCUUUAGAAGUACAUGACUAUUUUUUUCCAUCUUCAAAGAAGCCAAUUUCACCCAGAGCCUUAUUAAUAGUGUAGGUGGAAGUGGAACUCUAGCAGCAAAAGCCCAGCAGGCAUAAUAUGCUUGUUUUUAUUUUUUUCUUAUUAAUGCUAAUCCCACAUCGCUUAUUGCUCUUUUGGAAGAGUCUGAUUAGAACAAAAAACUGAUAUUAACGUUAAUUGAGAGAAGUUAAUCUCACAAUACAGACAGGCAAAUGACCUGCUUGGGACAAUGAAGAACUGUGAUGGAAUCCAGAUCUUUGCUACCAUUUUCAGACAGAGGUACUACAGACUGUUAAUUCUGCAAUAUGCAUUAUUAAUUAUGCAUCUAUGAUUCUGCUACCAACAAAACAGGAUUACUUCAGAAUCAUUUUUUCUUUUACUUUCUGUUUUAUUAACAAGUAGUGAUAGACAAUAGCUGAAUAUCUACAAACUUUCCAUGCUUUUCUGUCCAGUUACCAGAUCUACCUCUGGCAACACAUGUAGAUUCAGCGCUGAUCCCCAUGAUGUCAGUCUCUAUUGAAUUUACUGAGAUUAGACCAUGGCUUUUCAUUUCCAGCUGUCUGCUGAGGAAUGUGCUGAACAGGCUGACCAAUGGAAGUGCUCAUUUUUUCUGUCAUUCAGAAAUUGUGAAGCUCUGUAGAUGUCUCUAUUUUGAUCUGCCUCUAAAGAGCAACAUCAUCAGAGUACUGGUGCAGGCGGAGCCAUGUCCUACAGCCCUCCUGGUGGGACCAUACUUCACUUCUGCCUUUUGUACACUCUCCAAAGUGAGGUUUUGGACUAGGGAUGUCGAAUAAUUUCUGAUAACUGAGAGCAGCACCAAAAGGUUUCUGAUAACUGAGGGGACCUGAGAGCAGCACCAAAAGGCAUAGAAGCCCAGCUCCUCCACGCUUCAGCCUCCACCAUCCCCUCAGACUGGGAACCCAAGUCCCACAUGAAAUUAUCAGCACAGCAAUGGUGUUUCUUAGCAUCAUCCCAAGCAAGUCAGAAUCAGUGAGAAAUUCAUUGCCAGUCAUGUGGUACAGCUUUAUUCAAAUGGGUUGAAGCAGAAAAAGAAACUACAGAGGAACAAGAUGCAGUGGAGUUCUUCUUCACUUACUAGAGAGGAGAGUGGAAGCGGAGGCCCAGGUGUCCAACAGAAAAAAAACACCAUUAGAGAAGUUGUAGGCUUCAGAGCAAGAAGGCUGUGUCACUGAUUAAAGCAUCAGAGCUGCCAAAGGAGACUCAACAGCUGUCAGCAAAAGAAGUCAGAAGCAGAGCAGCAGGUGACAAUGAAACAGCUGGGGGUGCCCAAGGCCUUGGUUGAAGGCUUUGAAGGUUGAAUCUUGGUUGAUCUUGGUUGAAGAUCCAGCACUGUUCAUGAACUCCAAAAGAGCCAGAGAGGCAUGAGAUGAAGAUGCAGAGAUCAUUGAUGACAAAAUCUAAAGAAGAGGAGAAGAGGGAUGGUCAGGCAGGAGGAAUUAGGCUGAGCAGCUGGAGAAGGAGUGGAUGGCAACCAAGAGAAACCAGAAUGGAGGGCAGGUCAAAUGAAAUCUUGUUGGCAGAUGAAGAGCAGGACACAAUCAAUACAGCACUGAGCUGGUUCACCAGAGUACUGCAAACCAAAAGGGUUGUUUCAAGACAGGACUCUUGAUGGGUAGUGCUGUAAUUCCAGUUAGUCAACCACCCCAGCUGCUGGCAAGUGGCUGCCAGGCACAACAUCAGGGUGUACAGCAAUGAGCUGAGUUUAUGUUACUGAAAUUAAAUAAAAUUUGAUUUUAUUACAGGGGCUGAUUCAUUAUAAUACUUUUUUUCAUGAAAGAGCAAAUAUUCUAUGUCAGUUCUUUGGCAUUUAUAAUCGUAAGAAGUGGAGCCUGAAGAAACAUAAGAGGCAGGCAAGGAAAGCAAGGUUUUACUGGCUGGAAAAGUGGCUACAGCCAGGUGGAUCAUGCCAAUUGUCCCAUGUAAGCACUAGAAGUCUUUUAUCACAUCUCAUUUUAAAAGUAGUUGUAGAGAGAAAUUAAAUGACAUGUAUACUGCCUUUCUAUCUCAAUAUUUCUGUAGCCAGCCUUUCUUAGGAGUAUGAUCUU